AUCAGGUUCUGGGUUUCCUUACUACCCUUUACGAUCAAGGCUUGGCUUACCGCACCAUAAACGUGUACAGGUCGGCGAUUUCAGCUGGGCACAACGGUUGGGAAGGUUUCCCGGCCGGGAAACACUUAUGGAUCUGUCGUCUUCUACGAGGCAUAAAAUUUGCACGUCCACCACAACCCCGCUACACGGCCUUAUGGGAUGUGAAUAUGGUCCUUCGUUUGUUGCAAGACUGGCCUCCAAACUCGGACCUCACACUCAAACAAGUGUCCGCAAAAUUAGCGAUGCUUCUGUGCUUAAUUUCCUGCAAAAGGGUAUCAGACGUGCGGGCCCUGGAUAUCGAUGCAC
Molecule: non-coding RNA, 345 nt
Organism: Pelobates cultripes (western spadefoot toad)
Lineage: Eukaryota; Metazoa; Chordata; Amphibia; Anura; Pelobatidae
Source: the annotation of a GenBank genome assembly